This 314-nucleotide unclassified non-coding RNA is filed under the name uncultured bacterium. RNAcentral describes it as "contains 16S-23S intergenic spacer region". The record is from RNAcentral.
UCAACCGUGAGCAGCUGGAAGGAGUGCCGGACUGGCUGCCAAAGCAGCAGCUAACGCUCGGGCUCGACUUGCGGGGAGGAUCGCAGCUGUUACUUGAGAUCGACAGCGAAGCAGUGCUCAGGGACCGCCUCAUCGCAUUGGCUUCCGCGGCCGAUGCGACCCUUCGCGACGCAAAAAUCGUGGCGCUUGGUGCCAAGGUCUUGGGCGAUGCCGUCACCCUUGAACUGACUGAUGCGGCCCAGACGCCCCAGGCCCGUCGUGUGCUUUCAACGCUCGUCACGCCGGUCGGUGCAGGUUUCGGCAACGACAGUCGA